CCUGAUGACAAUAGCAGUUUGGCACCACCUGAUCCCAUCUCGAACUCAGAAGUGAAACGGACUAACGCCAAUGGUAGUGCAAGGUCUCCUUGUGUGAGAGUAGGUAAUCGUCAGGC
This 116-nucleotide ribosomal RNA is filed under the name Gammaproteobacteria bacterium. Lineage: Bacteria; Pseudomonadati; Pseudomonadota; Gammaproteobacteria. The record is from RNAcentral.